Molecule: ribosomal RNA, 498 nt
Filed under: uncultured bacterium
Lineage: Bacteria
Description: partial 16S ribosomal RNA
Rfam family: Bacterial small subunit ribosomal RNA
Source: RNAcentral
AUUGAACGCUGGCGGCAUGCCUUACACAUGCAAGUCGAACGGUAACAGGUCUUCGGAUGCUGACGAGUGGCGAACGGGUGAGUAAUACAUCGGAACGUGCCUAAUAGUGGGGGAUAACUACUCGAAAGAGUGGCUAAUACCGCAUGAGAUCUACGGAUGAAAGCAGGGGAUCGCAAGACCUUGUGCUACUAGAGCGGCCGAUGGCAGAUUAGGUAGUUGGUGGGAAAAAAGCUUACCAAGCCGACGAUCUGUAGCUGGUAUGAGAGGACGAUCAGCCACACUGGGACUGGGAAACGGCCCAGACUCCUACGGGAGGCAGCAGUGGGGAAUUUUGGACAAUGGGCGCAAGCCUGAUCCAGCAAUGCCGCGUGCAGGAUGAAGGCCUUCGGGUUGCAAACUGCUUUUGUACGGAACGAAAAGCCCCGGGUUAAUACCCUGGGGUCAUGACGGUACCGUAAGAAUAAGCACCGGCUAACUACGUGCCAGCCGCCGCGGUAA